This is an RNA transcript of Papilio xuthus (Asian swallowtail), 2099 nucleotides long. It is a transcript of the gene named neuropeptide receptor A13, with no coding region annotated. NCBI's taxonomy places the organism in Eukaryota, Metazoa, Arthropoda, Insecta, Lepidoptera, Papilionidae. The transcript is spliced from 6 exons. The record is from RefSeq and is a predicted model, not a curated record.
UGUGGGACCGUCACUGCUCCGCCUCCCGCGGCAUAAACAGCAACAGUGCAGACUCGACCGGCAGCGUUACUACACGUUUCCGUCCCACAAAACGAACAAUCGCAGUUAUUUAAUAUUAAUUUAUUUUACCAAAGUGACAGAUUAAAAAAGUGUCAUUUAAAAUCAAUUUUAAAGGAAGAAGGAGGAAUAACUUGGACAUGUAUGAAGUUUACAAGUAACUGGUAGCAGAUAUGACGUGGACCGAAGCAAUGUUCAACGUUAGAAACUGAAAAUGGAUAUGACAUUCACACCCUGUCCAUGACGAGAUGUGAGAUCUGGCGCGCGCCAAUAUGGCUAACGCGACCGACGCUUUCUGUGUGCCCGGCGCCACGGAAUUCAAUAAAGCUUACAGCCGAUUGCACGGAUACAUCGCUAUUGUGAUAUGUAUCAUAGGAUCAGCCACGAACUCUAUAAACAUCGCAGUGCUGAGUCGCAGGGAAAUGAUAAGUUCCACGAACUCCAUACUGACGGGCCUCGCAGUCGCCGACCUCCUUGUGAUGCUUGAGUAUAUACCAUACGCUCUACACAUGAAUAUUAAAAUCGGCCCCGAAGUAAAUAAGAACACAUACGCUUGGACUGUCUUCGUCUACUUCCAUUCCAUAUUUAGUCAAACAUUUCAUACUAUAUCGAUCUGGUUGGCUGUGACGCUUGCAGUAUGGCGGUACAUCGCCAUCGCUUUUCCUCAGAAGAACAGGACGUGGUGCAGCAAACAAAACACCACAAUUGCCAUCGUUAGCGCUUACGUGAUAUGUCCCUUCCUUUGUCUUCCAAUUUAUUUUGCAAUGAAUAUAUCCCAGAAUGAAGUGACGCCUCAGAACAACUCCCAGUUUGCCGAAGACUUAUCAUUGCCACAUAAUAGAACUGUGUACGUGUUAGAAAUGUCAAAGAACAAGGAAUUAGUUACCGCAAUAAUGUGGAUAUACAGUGUUAUAUUAAAACUAGUCCCGAGCAUAGCUUUAUCUAUAUUAAGUACGUGCUUAAUUUCUAAAUUAACUACCACAGAGAGAAGAAGACAGAAGCUUCUUAAGAGAUCGAUAGUUGGGCCAAAUGAUAGUGAGAAGCAGUGCUUGGCAGAGGAUCCAAGCGCAGCGCGGCGCUCCAGUCGCACGGACCGCACGACGCGUAUGCUGCUAGCUGUACUGGGUCUGUUCCUCUCCACUGAGGUCCCUCAAGGUCUCCUGGGACUCGCCAGCGCCCUCGCACCAGAUUUCUUCAAAAGCUGCUAUAGUAUGUUUGGUGACCUUAUGGACGUGCUGGCACUGUUCACGUCUUCAGUAAACUUCGUGUUGUACUGCAGUAUGAGUCGUCAGUUCCGAUGUACGUUCGCUCGACUCGCGCGUCGCAUGCUCUCCGCGCCCGAGGAACCACCUAAAUCAUCCAACAAACACGAGCCCACCACACAGGUCACAGGGCCACUUUAGCGACAGAUGCCCGCCCUUAUUAGGGUGGUGGAGGAGAGCGUUAUUUAGUGUCAAGAUUUACAAUCAGCGAAAACAAGAAAUAUAUCUUAAAAUUUCGGUUAGGUAGUCAAACAAAAUUGUACAUACCUUGACACUGUAAAUAACUAUAAAGGACUUUAGACUAUAUUAUUAAAUUUAAAGUUAAUAAUUGUACGUUUUAUCUUAUUAUUAUAUUUUGUAAUCAUCGAAUUAAUAUAAAAAUAAAAUAUCUAUUAAUCUGUACAUAUAAAUUAUUUUUUGUGAUUGUAAUAAUUGUAUAUUGUAAAUAUUGUACAUAUGUAAAUAAGAUAUACUAUGUAUAACAUAUAGUAUAUACUUGUAACCCUUAACGAUUUAUAGUCAUUGUUAGUAACCGCUAGCUUUCGCGUCCAAUGAGCCAAGACGCGAAAACUAGACGUUGCGUUUUGUAAAUUUUGUACUAAUGAAUCAAUCUCUAAGUUAUAUCUUAGGGUCCAAAAGUCUUAUAACUAUAGCACUAGACCUAUACCUAUACCUAGACUAGUACUUUAUAAAUAAUUAAUUUUUAUCGUUAUGUAAUGUUUAAUUAAUCACAUUUUCUACUAUUAUUAAUUUAAUUAUCUGUAACAAAGUCAAUUGAAU